CAAAACUAGCACAGCACAAGACCAAACUAUAAAAAAUCAGAUGAAUGAUCGGAUCAUCAUACUAUUAUUGACGAUAUCAGACCAGGUGCGGAUCCCGCCUUUCUGCAAAAGGGGGAUCCAAACCACGGAACACACUGAAACGUCCACAAAAUAAAAAAAAAUAAUCGGAAAAAAUGGGGUUUCAACCACCAAAACUCCCUCUCCCCGCAUACCGGAUCCGGUAAUGUAGGCUGCAUCCAUUCAAAUAAAAGCUUCAAACAUCAUUAACACUUUUAAGUGUGUAAUUUAGGCAGCAACCAUUUGAUUUUCUGGGGGGGGCUAUGGUUUUUUUUUUUCUGUGCAAACUUUUUUUUCGCCUUUGGCGAAGAACAAUCUAUUUUUUUAGCGACAAACCGAAAACAAAUUUUUUCUUUCAAUUUUAGCAUUACAUAUAG
This 434-nucleotide long non-coding RNA is filed under the name Mytilus galloprovincialis (Mediterranean mussel). Lineage: Eukaryota; Metazoa; Mollusca; Bivalvia; Mytilida; Mytilidae. The record is from RNAcentral.